GAUGAACGCUAGCUACAGGCUUAACACACGCAAGUCGAGGGGUAACGAGAGGAAAGCUUGCUUUCCUUGUCGACGACCGGCGCACGGGUGAGUAACGCGUAUCCAACCUGCCCCCAACUAGGGAAUAACCUUGCGAAAGUAAGACUUAUACCCUAUAAUUUCCUCAGAUGCCAUCUGACGAGGAAUAAAGAUUUAUCGGUUGUGGAUGGGGAUGCGUCUGAUUAGCUUGUUGGCGGGGUAACGGCCCACCAAGGCAACGAUCAGUAGGGGUUCUGAGAGGAAGGUCCCCCACAUUGGAACUGAGACACGGUCCAAACUCCUACGGGAGGCAGCAGUGAGGAAUAUUGGUCAAUGGGCGGAAGCCUGAACCAGCCAAGUAGCGUGCAGGAUGACGGCCCUAUGGGUUGUAAACUGCUUUUAUACAGGAAUAAAGUUAGCCACGUGUGGUUAUUUGUAGGUACUGUAUGAAUAAGGACCGGCUAAUUCCGUGCCAGCCGCCGCGGUAA
Molecule: ribosomal RNA, 506 nt
Filed under: uncultured bacterium
Lineage: Bacteria
Description: partial 16S ribosomal RNA
Rfam family: Bacterial small subunit ribosomal RNA
Source: RNAcentral